CCGGCACGGGUGAGUAACACGUAUCCAACCUGCCGUCUACUCUUGGACAGCCUUCUGAAAGGAAGAUUAAUACAAGAUGGCAUCAUGAGUCCGCAUGUUCACAUGAUUAAAGGUAUUCCGGUAGACGAUGGGGAUGCGUUCCAUUAGAUAGUAGGGCGGGGUAACGGCCCACCUAGUCUUCGAUGGAUAGGGGUUCUGAGAGGAAGGUCCCCCACAUUGGAACUGAGACACGGUCCAAACUCCUACGGAAGGCAGCAG
This 258-nucleotide ribosomal RNA is filed under the name uncultured bacterium. Its description in RNAcentral is "partial 16S ribosomal RNA". It matches the Rfam family "Bacterial small subunit ribosomal RNA", at positions 97 to 354 of the family's 1533-position model. The record is from RNAcentral.